GGUGACGUAGCCAAGCUGGUUAAGGCCGCGGUCUGCAAAACCGCUAUCACGGGUUCGAGUCCCGUCGUCACCU
Molecule: transfer RNA, 73 nt
Filed under: Candidatus Dojkabacteria bacterium HGW-Dojkabacteria-1
Lineage: Bacteria
Also listed under: 1 other name
Description: tRNA-Cys
Rfam family: tRNA
About the family: Transfer RNA (tRNA) molecules are approximately 80 nucleotides in length. Their secondary structure includes four short double-helical elements and three loops (D, anti-codon, and T loops).
Source: RNAcentral